RNAcentral lists this ribosomal RNA (291 nucleotides) under Acanthamoeba sp. Fla3. RNAcentral describes it as "partial 18S ribosomal RNA". It matches the Rfam family "Eukaryotic small subunit ribosomal RNA", at positions 849 to 1097 of the family's 1831-position model. The record is from RNAcentral. RNAcentral also lists the same sequence under 1 other name. Lineage: Eukaryota; Discosea; Longamoebia; Acanthamoebidae.
AGGUUAUAUCAGGGUAAUGAUUAAUAGGGAUAGUUGGGGGCAUUAAUAUUUAAUUGUCAGAGGUGAAAUUCUUGGAUUUAUGAAAGAUUAACUUCUGCGAAAGCGUUUGCCAAGGAUGUUUUCAUUAAUCAAGAACGAAAGUUAGGGGAUCGAAGACGAUCAGAUACCGUCGUAGUCUUAACCAUAAACGAUGCCGACCAGCGAUUAGGAGACGUUGAAUACAAAACACCGCUGUUAAUCCUUUCGGGGGUUAAUAGUUGGUGAAUGACUCCCCUAGCAGCUUGUGAGAAA